GGACCCGCACAAGUAGUGGAGCAUGUGGUUUAAUUCGAAGAUACGCGCAGAACCUUACCAACACUUGACAUGUUCGUCGCGACUCUAAGAGAUUAGAGUUUUCGGUUCGGCCGGACGAAACACAGGUGCUGCAUGGCUGUCGUCAGCUCGUGUCGUGAGAUGUUGGGUUAAGUCCCGCAACGAGCGCAACCCUCACUUUUAGUUGCCAUCAUUAAGUUGGGCACUCUGAAAGAACUGCCAGUGAUAAGCUGGAGGAAGGUGGGGAUGACGUCAAGUCCUCAUGGCCCUUACGUGUUGGGCUACACACGUGCUACAAUGGUAGUGACAAUGGGUUAAUCCCAAAAAGCUAUC
This 351-nucleotide ribosomal RNA is filed under the name uncultured bacterium. RNAcentral's name for it is "bacterial SSU rRNA". It matches the Rfam family "Bacterial small subunit ribosomal RNA", at positions 917 to 1287 of the family's 1533-position model. The record is from RNAcentral.